RNAcentral lists this ribosomal RNA (403 nucleotides) under uncultured bacterium. Its description in RNAcentral is "partial 16S ribosomal RNA". It matches the Rfam family "Bacterial small subunit ribosomal RNA", at positions 28 to 526 of the family's 1533-position model. The record is from RNAcentral.
GACGAACGCUGGCGGCGUGCCUAAUACAUGCAAGUCGAACGCAGUGGGGACGGGUGAGUGACACGUGGGUAACCUCCCAUCAGAGGGGAUAACACGUGGAAACAGGUGCUAAACCGAUACUGAGGGAGGGAGCCGCGGUGCAUGAGCUAGGUGGUGAGGUAACGGCUCACCAAGGCCACGAUGCAUAGCCGACCUGAGAGGGUGAUCGGCCACACUGGGACUGAGACACGGCCCAGCCUCCUACGGGAGGCAGCAGUAGGGAAUCUUCGGCAAUGGACGAAAGUCUGACCGAGCCACGCCGCGUGAGUGAAGAAGGUUUUCGGAUCGUAAAACUCUGUUGUUAGAGAAGCGGUAUCUAACCAGAAAGCCACGGCUAACUACGUGCCAGCAGCCGCGGUAAUUC